RNAcentral lists this ribosomal RNA (253 nucleotides) under uncultured bacterium. Its description in RNAcentral is "partial 16S ribosomal RNA". It matches the Rfam family "Bacterial small subunit ribosomal RNA", at positions 524 to 776 of the family's 1533-position model. The record is from RNAcentral.
GACGGAGGGGGCUAGCGUUGUUCGGAAUUACUGGGCGUAAAGAGCGCGUAGGCGGUUUAGUAAGUUGGAAGUGAAAGCCCGAGGCUUAACCUCGGAAUUGCUUUCAAAACUGCUAGACUAGAGUAUGGUAGGGGAUGGUAGAAUUUCUAGUGUAGAGGUGGAAUUCUUAGAUAUUAGAAGGAAUACCGGUGGCGAAGGCGACCAUCUGGACCAUUACUGACGCUGAGGUGCGAAAGCGUGGGGAGCAAACAGG